AGCUGGCCAGAGGCCAGGCUAAUGAUUGGAAAUAGUUCGCUAAUCAUGUUAGGCACGGCAGCUUCAAGAACCGAGAACUAUUGGCGCAGUUUUGUGCGGAAUGUAUCAAUACUAUCCAAAUGAACAACAAAGGCAAGGGAAGAAAAGUAAGUUCGUUUGGAUUUACUAAAGUAAUCGAUGAGAACAAGAUUCUUAUGGAUGAUCCUUGUUCUGCCACAUUGUAUUUUGGAACUUGUCC
Molecule: RNA transcript, 238 nt
Organism: Arabidopsis thaliana (thale cress)
Lineage: Eukaryota; Viridiplantae; Streptophyta; Magnoliopsida; Brassicales; Brassicaceae
Exons: 2
Source: RefSeq